UUUAAUCACAGCACUAGGGAA
This 21-nucleotide non-coding RNA is filed under the name Mus musculus (house mouse). The record is from RNAcentral. Lineage: Eukaryota; Metazoa; Chordata; Mammalia; Rodentia; Muridae.